AUUGAACGCUGGCGGCAGGCCUAACACAUGCAAGUCGAGCGAGCGGCGGACGGGUGAGUAAUGCCUAGGAAUCUGCCUGGUAGUGGGGGAUAACGUCCGGAAACGGUAGCUAAUACCGCAUACCAUCAGAUGUGCCCAGAUGGGAUUCGCUGGUUGGUGGGGUAACGGCUCAGCAGGGCGACGAUCCCUAGCUGGUCUGAGAGGAUGACCAGCCACACGGGAACGGAGACACGUUCCAGAAGCCUACGUGAGGCAGCAGUGGGGAAUAUUGGACAAUGGGCGAAAGCCUGAUCCAGCCAUGCCGCGUGUAUGAAGAAGGCCUUCGGGUUGUAAAGUACUUUCAGCGGGGAGGCGUUACCCGCAGAAGAAGCACCGGCUAACUCCGUGCCAGCCGCCGCGGUAAUAC
Molecule: ribosomal RNA, 406 nt
Filed under: uncultured bacterium
Lineage: Bacteria
Description: partial 16S ribosomal RNA
Rfam family: Bacterial small subunit ribosomal RNA
Source: RNAcentral